Molecule: ribosomal RNA, 331 nt
Filed under: uncultured bacterium
Lineage: Bacteria
Description: bacterial SSU rRNA
Rfam family: Bacterial small subunit ribosomal RNA
Source: RNAcentral
CGCGUAGGCGGCCCUGCAAGUCCGAUGUGAAAUCCCCGGGCUCAACCCGGGAUCCGCGUUGGAUACUGCGAGGCUUGAGUGCAGGAGAGGAGAGCGGAAUUCCCAGUGUAGCGGUGAAAUGCGUAGAUACUGGGAGGAACACCGGUGGCGAAGGCGGCUCUCUGGACUGCUACUGACGCUGAGGCGCGAAAGCGUAGGGGAGCAAACGGGAUUAGAUACCCCGGUAGUCCUAGCCGUAAACGUUGGGCACUAGGUGUGGGAGGUAUCGACCCCUUCGUGCCGUAGCUAACGCAUUAAGUGCCCCGCUGGGGAGUACGGCCGCAAGGUUGAA